RNAcentral lists this transfer RNA (66 nucleotides) under Cyrtacanthacris tatarica. Its description in RNAcentral is "tRNA-Tyr". It matches the Rfam family "tRNA". From Rfam's summary of the family: Transfer RNA (tRNA) molecules are approximately 80 nucleotides in length. Their secondary structure includes four short double-helical elements and three loops (D, anti-codon, and T loops). RNAcentral also lists the same sequence under 1 other name. The record is from RNAcentral. Lineage: Eukaryota; Metazoa; Arthropoda; Insecta; Orthoptera; Acrididae.
GGUAAGAUGGCUGAAUUUUAGGUGGUAGACUGUAAAUCUACUUAUGAGAUAUUUUCUCUCUUACCA